AUUGAACGCUGGCGGAAUGCUUUACACAUGCAAGUCGAACGGCAGCACGGGGGCAACCCUGGUGGCGGGUGGCGAACGGGUGAGUAAUACAUCGGAACGUGCCCAGUCGUGGGGGAUAACGUAGCGAAAGUUACGCUAAUACCGCAUACGAUCUACGGAUGGAAGCGGGGGACCGUAAGGCCUCGCGCGAUUGGAGCGGCCGAUGUCAGAUUAGGUAGUUGGUGAGGUAAAGGCUCACCAAGCCGACGAUCUGUAGCUGGUCUGAGAGGACGACCGGCCACACUGGGACUGAGACACGGCCCAGACUCCUACGGGAGGAAGCAGUGGGGAAUUUUGGACAAUGGGCGCAAGCCUGAUCCAGCCAUUCCGCGUGCAGGACGAAGGCCUUCGGGUUGUAAACUGCUUUUGUACGGAACGAAAAGGCUCUGGUUAAUACCUGGGGCUCAUGACGGUACCGUAAGAAUAAGCACCGGCUACUACGUGCCAGCCGCCGCUGUAA
RNAcentral lists this ribosomal RNA (499 nucleotides) under uncultured bacterium. Its description in RNAcentral is "partial 16S ribosomal RNA". It matches the Rfam family "Bacterial small subunit ribosomal RNA", at positions 30 to 523 of the family's 1533-position model. The record is from RNAcentral.